UCUCCACCCCUAGUGCGGCGGCCUUGGCAACCCAAGCCCAGCAGAGGGAAGUAGCGCCGAUCCGCCUCCGCCCACCCUCCUCCUCUAGUGCUCCAGGUGCGUCAACCCUCCUUUCCUCCGGCGCUCCACCUCCUCAAGUACUCCUCCCCAUUCUGCUCUUUCCUGUGGAGGGCGAAGGUUGUGACCGUCACUGCUCCGUGUACGGGGCGACCCUGUUGGCAGCAACACCAUGGAGCAUGCCCACAUGAGGUUGAGGCUAAUAAAUUUUUUGGGGCAAGGCUAUCUCACGCCCACUUGCCCACGGUCGAUUUCCGACAGGCCCCCGAUGGCACCGCCGCAUGCUCCUGGAGGGGGCGAUGACGUGACUGUGGCGCAGUGCCCAAUCUGCAUGGAGGAGCUGGUGCCCAACAGCAGCCGCGGAUUCGUCACAAGAUUGCCCGGCUGCCUGCACUCCUUCCACGAAAGCUGCAUCGCACAAUGGUUCUGCAGGGCGGCCACGUGUCCGUGCUGCCGGCGCGACAUGGCAGCGUACAAUAACCGCGCGUACCCGCUGAACAUGACAUCGCUCUACUCGGAGACGACCAUGACGGUUGCGCUGCCCAUUCCGCGCCGUCCUCAACAACGCCGUACGGCUCCCUUCACGUCCCAGGGGCCACUAAACUGACCGUUGUUCCGACGAGUGGCCGUGGAGAAGGAUGAUGUCAGGUUUCGACAACGUAUUGUGGUGUAAUUGAACAUUGCUCAGAAUCGAACUGAAUUCUUGAAAUGUAAUAUGUCUCUGUGCUUUUUUUAAUUGAAUUAAGACACACAUUUGGUUGUUUAAACCGGACGACUGAAUUCACAGAUGGUGAUGGUUGAUAUAUUUUGAUAGUUCCUUUGAUACUGAA
This is a long non-coding RNA of Triticum dicoccoides, 887 nucleotides long. RefSeq lists it as uncharacterized. The record is from RefSeq and is a predicted model, not a curated record. The transcript is spliced from 2 exons. NCBI's taxonomy places the organism in Eukaryota, Viridiplantae, Streptophyta, Magnoliopsida, Poales, Poaceae.